Molecule: unclassified non-coding RNA, 404 nt
Filed under: Acidoton microphyllus
Lineage: Eukaryota; Viridiplantae; Streptophyta; Magnoliopsida; Malpighiales; Euphorbiaceae
Description: partial external transcribed spacer
Source: RNAcentral
CAUGCUUGUGCAUCGAACUGUUGAAUGGCGAUCUCAUCAAUCCAAAACCCAGCUGCGCUAUUUUGCAUCAUGGGCUAAGGCUGAGUUCCUGUGUUGCAUACCCACGGAAGUGGAAAUUGAUCAUGUUGCGCUUUGAUUUUCGCCUCAUGCUUUGUUAAGGGCAUGUGGUGAACGUGUAAGCACCUUUUGUGUUCCAAAAUCGUUGAUUCAACUGUAAUGGUGCAUUAAAAGGUCGCUUGUGCUUUGGGAUGCGGAAAUUCUUUCGUAGCCGAGGGAUCGGAUCCCUCAAUUGCUUGAAAUGUCCCUAUUCGGAAACGACACACAGUGCUCGCUUUUGGUCCUUGGCAUGCCACAAUGUUGGUGCUCUGGGGAUUGAAGCGGUUGCUGAUGUCGUGAAGGAAUGC